GGAGAGAUGGCCGAGUGGCUUAAGGCACACGCUUGGAAAGCGUGCAUAGGGUAACACCUAUCGUGGGUUCGAAUCCCACUCUCUCCGCCA
Molecule: transfer RNA, 90 nt
Filed under: Rhodospirillaceae bacterium
Lineage: Bacteria; Pseudomonadati; Pseudomonadota; Alphaproteobacteria; Rhodospirillales; Rhodospirillaceae
Also listed under: 1 other name
Description: tRNA-Ser
Rfam family: tRNA
About the family: Transfer RNA (tRNA) molecules are approximately 80 nucleotides in length. Their secondary structure includes four short double-helical elements and three loops (D, anti-codon, and T loops).
Source: RNAcentral